CCGAUUUUAGCGGACCUGAUCUCUGAUUAUGGUCUCGCGAAAACAUUGUAUUUAAAACCCCACUCUUAUAAAUUGAAUCAUUUUAUAUUGUAUAUAAAUAAAUAAAGA
This 108-nucleotide unclassified non-coding RNA is filed under the name uncultured Glomeromycotina. RNAcentral's name for it is "sequence contains ITS1". The record is from RNAcentral. Lineage: Eukaryota; Fungi; Glomeromycota.